UUCUUAAACAAAAAGUGUUAUGCUAAAUGCAGUUAGCUAGGUAGCUACUACAUCUUUUAUUAUUUUUUCCUGAAAACUUUUUGUGCAAAUAAAAUGACUGACAGAUUAUUUUAGCUGAACCGGUAAUGACAGGCUGUUCCCUGUGUUUUCAUUAAAAGCAAAGUUGCAUUGAAGUUUUUUGGAAAGGGGUAUUACGCCUAUACGCCUGUUCAACUCUGUUUAACUAUACUGAGCGUUUAGUCCAGUGUUAACAACAGACUGUUGUUUUUGGUAAAGGCUGUUACGCCUAGCGUCAUGUACAACGUGGUUUACCUGUACUAAGUACAACCAAUGUGACAAUUCAUUUUUAAACUUUCUCGGUAAUCAUGUCUGAACGGAUGUGCAACAAUGUUUACCUUUUUUAAACAGAGUCUGUGAGAAAGUUUUUUCCAAAGGCGUUUUUUUACUAUACGCCUGUGCAACACGGUUUAACUUGGACAUGCCAACUAAGAAACAUAAUGACCUAUUUAGUUUUUGAAGUGAUGGUGGUCAGUGGUGUUUGUAAACUGUUUCACCUUUCUGUCUUUUUAUUUGUGUAAUAUUUGUUUUCUGUUUAUUUUUAAGGUUAAGAUAUAUAAAUAUAUUGUCACGUUUUUUAGCCAUGUACAGAUCUUGAACGCACCGGUUUUGGCUAGGAACGAAUAUUUUUUAGGCUACGUACCUAACCUUCCUUAUUAUUAGUUUAUCCUACCCAACAUUUUUUAUGUUGAGGUCAUAGCCAUUAAGCUAGCUACAUUUUUAGUUAAAAGUGAAAGUAUGAAAUGUAGUUUGGCUAUAUACAACAAUAUUCUUAAGCAAUAUUUUUUAUGCUAAAUGCAGUUAGCUAGGUAGCUACAUCUUUUAUUAUUUUCCUUAAACCUUUAAUUUAAACCAAAGUUGCAACAAAGUUUUUUUUGGAAAAAGGUAUCACGCCUAUACGCCUGCUCAAAUCUGUUUAAAGCUUACCUCCCGCCACAAAAAAAGUUCAACUCAAAAUACAUAAAGAACUAACAAUUUAAACAUGAUUUUGUUAAAUUUGCAACGAUAUGUAAAAGAUAUAGACAAAAGUUUACCUUAUAUUUACCCAGUUUCGACUUCACUUGUCAGCCAUCUUUGAAGAAUUAAAAUAUCGGAUUUCGCCCGGCUUUGACGUCAUGGUAAUGGUAAUGCCAGAAUAAUCGACCCUCGGUAAGAAGAGAGAGAGGAGGAGAAGCGCGAAGCAGUGCCCUUGUUAGUCCUGCACACGAAUCAAGAUUCUUGCCAAGUACAAUUGGUUAAGGAUAUGCAUCAAAUGAAUGAGAAUAUUUUACAGCUGGUCUGGAGAUAUUCCAUUUAUUGAAGAUCCGUUAUUUUUUAAAGAGUAUUUUCUUUGAAAAAGAUAAAAUGUCUGCAGCAACAGCUUUGGCCAUAAUGGAUCACAAUCUCAAUGUGUUUAGAAAACAGAUAUCUAAAUGGCUCUAAUCAGUCCCAAUUUCUGAUGAAAAUAUUUUAGCUACUUUGUCCGUAUUAUAGGCCACGUGUCGCAAGAAGAACGCUGGAGGUCAUUAUGUUCUGAAAUAUCGCGCGUAAGGUAUUCAAAGCCACGAAGCGCUGUACCGCAUUGAAAGUAAAGGUCGACAAAUCAUAUAAUUUCAUGCGACGAAUUGCCGAAGCUUCGUAUUUCAGAGCUGCAGAUUCGGAAACACAAAAUCAAAAGGACGCAGAUUCCAGAAAGAGAGAGUUGUGUAUGACACCUGAGGAAAGACCGUCUCGAGAAGAAACAAUUGAAAGCUCGACAAAGUGUUCCGGCUUGAAAUGAACUCAGUUAUUUUUUGUACUUUCUACUUUAUAUUAUGCUCACUCGAAAUUUUUUGUAGACACUUACUAUCCAACUCGAGAACAUGCACGUGUAGUCCUACUGUAUAUUUGAUUUUACCGAGUGGUGGAGAUAGACAUUACUGCUCAUUUUCAUCACUGAUUAAUUUCUAGCUCAAGAAUUUCUUCAGUGCUUUAAGUUUCGCAAGGGGUAAAGAAAUACUAUUAUAUUUUCACAUAAGGUCGAGUUUCUGCGCAUUACUAGAUGACGUCAUUCCGUCCCAAAUUGCGAAAGUUAUUACUCUCGGAACUCAAGAUGGCGACUGGCUGCACACUUUUGAUGGCAAUAUAUGGUAUAUGGGCUGUUACACCUAUGCGGAUGUGCAAUGACCUGUACUAAGGGGUUUGCCCACUGUGACAAUUAAUUUUAAACUUUCUUGGAAAUCACGCCUGUACGAUGUUCAACACUACUUACCUGGACCAACCACUCAGCCCUGUGUCAGUAAUGGACUGUUUCUUGUGUCUACCAAGGAAAUGUUAAACUUGUUUGCAGCCACGGGACAUAUUAAUUAUGCCAAGAAUGCACGACUGUUCCUUCAACAAAUGGUUGCCCUUUAGAGAAAAAAUCCCUGGCUCCAUCAGAAAUUUCAACAAGGUUCACAUGCUGUUCGAAGAUCAACCGUUACUGGACAGGUUUAUGGUCUGACCUUGUGAUCGAACAAACUCUCAUGAGAUCAAUCAAAACCAGAGGAGGACUCACCAGAGGGCCAGGAAUGAAUGAUGAUGUGCAGAACCUUUGGGUUCUUAGCUUGAAUUCCAGCGCCUCCAUUCAUGAAGCAAUGACUGUUGCUUGCUUGCUUUGACAGUAAGGCUACUGUCAAAGCAAGCAAGCAACAUGUCCAGAUGGGGGAAUCAAGACGCUCCAAAGAUUAUACAUAUUUCAAGAUCUUUAUAGACUUUAUGAAGACACAAAUCUGCAUUCGCUUUCUUUUGGCUUGACGUCUGAUGAAAAUGAUUGUAUCAACUGUGAAAUUGUGGAAGAAAUCGGAGAAAUGAUACAAGCAAAGUUGGACAACUUUUCAGUAGUUGAAUGCAAUAUCAAGCAGAAGGACCAGGUUAAGCCCAUCAUUUCCUUGCAAUCCAAAGUCCAAUUGAAAAAAGAAUCUGUCAUAGUCAAUCCAACGAUGCUGUUCACACGAUUGGUAGCCAUAGCGCAAAGGGGAAAAGAAGACAUAGAAGAACGUUUUGCUUUCAAACUAACACAAGAGUCAAUGUCUCUCUUUGAAGAUGCCUUAAUGAGAAAACCUGACAAUCCCUCAUUACGUAAGGCUGUGAUGGAAGAUGAUGAGGCAGUGGAAAAAAAAUCAAAUACAAAUUGAUCCUAUUUCGUAGGCGAUGGUGGAGCGCUAUGGCAUAGAGUCCGUUGGAUCAAAAAUUCUACUUUUGAUGAACCAUCGCAAGUUUACCUUGCUACGUUCGACGGCACUAUAAAUCUUGCACCAUUGUCUUUGAUGGAUAUGAUGUUCCUAGCACGAAAUCAAGUGAGCACAUGUCACAAACAGGUGGCAGAAAACGAUGCCCCAAUAUCGAUGUUGGUUUCAACAAAGUAUCUUUUACCCAAGAAAGUUGAAUAACGAAGAUAACAAAACACGUUUUAUCAGGCAUAUCAACAUAAAAUUUCAGCAAGACGGGCAAAUAGUGAAGAUUUGUGAAGGUGAUGCUGAUACAACAAUCGCCGCAACAGUACUAAAAGAAUCCGAAACAAACAACUAAAAAGCCGUUGUAACAGUUGCCGAUGAUACUGAUGUCGCAAUGAUGCUUUUAUACCAUAGGCAAGAAAAUCAUGGAGAUGUUUACUUCUUUCAAGAGAGGUUGGAUAAAGCCUGGAACAUGAAAGUUGUCUGUCAGAAAUGGAACCCUACCCGACAGCAUAUUCUUUUUGCACAUUCGUUAUCCGGCUGUGACACAACAUCGGCACCUUUCGCAACGGGAAAAAAUAACUUGCUGUCAUUGGUCACAAAAAACAAAACAUUGCAGAUUGUCUCAGACACAACGAGUGAUGUUUGGGCAGACAACAAAGAUGUCAAAGAAGCUGCCAUCAAAGCGUUUCAAAUCAUUUAUGAUGGUAACGAGUUGACUGAAUUAUGCAAACUUAGGUGAGUUUCUUACAUAGUGCAAUACAACAUUUUCCACAAUAUAAAAGGGUUUUCUUCAUUUAAUCUCAAAGUGCAUGAAAAUAGGAUGUUGAUCAGAGAAGACUUUAGAUACAGACAUUACCACCAAUUUUAUCAUUUUUGCAAAUACCAGAAAUAUCUCGAUAUGUGUUGGAAAGGAAAAAUUGAUCCUUUGAAAAGUGCUGCUAUUCUACACGGUUUUCGAGUUCAUCUACAGAUAAUGAAUUGGAAGAUAUUGGAGGAAGAAGAGCUUAAGCAAAUUGAUCCAAGCAAAUGGGGCUGGAAAAUUGAAAAUUCUUAAAUAAUGCCAAUAAAGACAGAUAAACAAGUCGCCCCUGAUAGCCUCCUAAAAAUCAUUAAAUGUAACUGCAAGGCUACUUCGAAGUCACCCUGUUCAGCAAAUUUGUGUUUGUGCAGAAAACAUGGUCUGAGCUGUAUGCAGUCUUGUGGAGAAUGUCACGGUGAAACAUGUGAAAAUAAAGAGGUCUGCUCUCUAUAAUUCUCCUUUUUAAAGGCAAAUCUCUUCUAAGGAGUUAGUUUAGCAAAAAAUCUAACCUUUGUCUUAUUAAUCACUCUUUUUUAGGUAUGCGAUGGUGAUAGUAACGUCGAAGAUGAUUUGGAAAAUGAAGAAGAGAAUAGAAACAUUUGUGAUAUAUUUGAUGCAUUUUAAUCUCUAUAAUAAUAGCCGUUGUCUGUCUGUCUCUGCGCGGACCCCCCGCUGAGUUAGAAAAUGAUGUUACGGAAACACGAAUAUCAAAUGCGAUAUACUUUUGUCCACUUUGUUGCCACGGAUAAAUUUAAAGGACGGGCGAACCCGUGGAUUUUUCCACGGGCAACGACUAGUCUAUAUUAUAAUACCCGUAUACGUCUGUCUGUCUGUCACGCAAAUUGGUAGCUUAGCUGCGCAAUAGCAAGAAGCACGCAAUGUGGUACAAAAAGGACGGGCGAACCCGUGGAUUUUCCACGGGCUAACAACUAGUUUUACAUAAUUUGUAUACAAAUUUUUACUUUUUUAAGAUGAAAACUUCAAGAAAGUUCAUGAUUUUUGAGAAUUGGGUUGACAAUAUUUUUUGUUCAAAAUUGACUGGUUUUCGAAUUAACCAACUUUCGUUUUCUCGAAAAUUUGGAAAUUCACUAUUUCUAAAAAUGGCACAUAUCUCAUUUUCUACAAAUGAUAUUGAUAGGGUUUUUUUUCUGGUAAUCUACAUAUUAAAAGGAGUAAGUGUGCCAAAUUUCUGACAUUUUUUCCGGGUCAGUGUGUUUUUCUACUUUAACGACUAUAAAGCUUACAGCCAAUAAAUUCAAAAUAUUA
Long non-coding RNA from Hydractinia symbiolongicarpus, 5298 nucleotides. RefSeq lists it as uncharacterized. The record is from RefSeq and is a predicted model, not a curated record. NCBI's taxonomy places the organism in Eukaryota, Metazoa, Cnidaria, Hydrozoa, Anthoathecata, Hydractiniidae. The transcript has 3 exons.